UUGAUCCUGGCUCAGAAUCAACGCUGGCGGCGUGCCUAACACAUGCAAGUCGAACGCGAAAAUCCCGCAAGGGAUCAGUAGAGUGGCAAACGGGUGAGUUACACGUGGGUGACCUGCCUUCGAGUGGGGGAUAACGUCCCGAAAGGGACUCUAAUACCGCAUGACAUCCUGCCUUUGAACAGGCGGAGAUCAAAGCUGGUGAUCGCAAGACCUGGCGCUCAAAGAGGGGCCCGCGCCUGAUUAGCUAGUUGGUGGGGUAAUGGCUCACCAAGGCAACGAUCAGUAUCCGGCCUGAGAGGUCGGACGGACACACUGGGACUGAGACACGGCCCAGACUCCUACGGGAGGCUGCAGUGGGGAAUUGUUCGCAAUGGGCGAAAGCCUGACGACGCAACGCCGUGUGGAGGAUGAAGACCUUCGGGUCGUAAACUCCUUUCGAUCGAGACGAAUGGCCUUCGGGUGAAUACCUCGGAGGAAUGACGGUACCGAGAGAAGAAGCUCCGGCUAACUCCGUGCCAGCAGCCGCGGUAAU
RNAcentral lists this ribosomal RNA (532 nucleotides) under uncultured Acidobacteriota bacterium. RNAcentral's name for it is "bacterial SSU rRNA". It matches the Rfam family "Bacterial small subunit ribosomal RNA", at positions 13 to 524 of the family's 1533-position model. The record is from RNAcentral. Lineage: Bacteria; Pseudomonadati; Acidobacteriota.